GGAGUUAUGGCUCAGUGGUAGAGUGCUUGCCUCGUAUGUGCAAAGCCCUGGGUUUGAUCCUCCGGUAGCUUUA
This 73-nucleotide transfer RNA is filed under the name Marmota monax (woodchuck). Its description in RNAcentral is "tRNA.Thr". Lineage: Eukaryota; Metazoa; Chordata; Mammalia; Rodentia; Sciuridae. The record is from RNAcentral.